CGGCGGACGGGUGAGUAAUGCUUGGGAAUCUACCUAGUAGUGGGGGAUAACGUGUGGAAACGCACGCUAAUACCGCAUACGUCCUACGGGAGAAAGCAGGGGAUCUUCGGACCUUGCGCUAUUGGAUGAGCCCAAGUCGGAUUAGCUAGUUGGUGAGGUAAUGGCUCACAAAGGCGACGAUCCGUAGCCGGUCUGAGAGGAUGACCAGCCACAUCGGGACUGAGACACGGCCCGA
RNAcentral lists this ribosomal RNA (235 nucleotides) under uncultured bacterium. RNAcentral describes it as "partial 16S ribosomal RNA". It matches the Rfam family "Bacterial small subunit ribosomal RNA", at positions 96 to 334 of the family's 1533-position model. The record is from RNAcentral.